Molecule: long non-coding RNA, 294 nt
Filed under: Nicotiana tabacum (common tobacco)
Lineage: Eukaryota; Viridiplantae; Streptophyta; Magnoliopsida; Solanales; Solanaceae
Description: long non-coding RNA (NTAB_LNC018189)
Source: RNAcentral
CAAUUUCAGUGCAAGUCAUCAAUUACAAAUGCCGAUAGAUAAAUAUGGAUGGCGAUUUAAUCAUAAAAGAAAUAAAAUACUAUUAAUUAAAAGGAAUGAAACUUGGAACAUGAAUAAAAAUGGAGAAAUGAACUCAUCACCUGCAAACAAAAAUGAACUCAUAUAAAAAGUGGGGAAAAAAAUGCUAGAAAAGUUCAUUCUGUGUCCAGAAAUCAAUUAAAACCUGACCUAAGUGGAGGAUUUCACAGAUUUACAAGCAACACUUGAGAGGAAGAUAACACCUUGAUCACCAUC